Molecule: non-coding RNA, 709 nt
Organism: Candidatus Yonathbacteria bacterium
Lineage: Bacteria; Candidatus Yonathiibacteriota
Source: Rfam
GAAUAGACGGGGACUUGCACAAGCGGUGGAUCAGGUGGCUUAAUUCGAUGGUAAACGAAGAACCUCACCAGGGUUUGAAACUCAUAGGAAAGACCAAGGAAACUCGGUAACUCCGCAAGGAUCUAUGAGCAGGUGAUGCAUGGCCGUCGUCAGUUCGUGGUUUGAACUGUCCCCUUAAGUGGGUCAACGAACGCAACCCUCGUUGUCUGUUAUAUGUGUCAGACGAGACUGCCCCCGCCUUUGCGCACGAAGUGCGCAGCUGGUAGCUGGUAGGUUGUAGCUGUUAGGAAUUCCUAAAAGCUACAACCUAAAAGCUAAAAGCUGUGUUCGCUUCGCGAAUAAAGGCGGGGGAGGAAGGAGAGGAUGACGCCAGGUCAGCAUGUCCCUUUGAUACCCUGGGCUGCACACUUGAUACAAUGGCCACUACAACGGGUCGCGACGAGGUAACUCUGAGCUAAUCCUAAGAAAGGUGGCCCCAGUUCGGAUUGGGGGCUGAAACUCGACCCCAUGAAGUUGGAAUCGCUAGUAAUCGCGGGUCAGCUAUACCGCGGUGAAUACGUUCUCAAGUCUUGUACUCACCGCCCGUCAUGUCAAGGGAGCCGAGAGUGCCCGAAGUCCCACCUUGUGUGGGCCUAAGGUAAGCUUGGUGACAAGGACAAAGUCGUAACAAGGCACGGCUAGCGGAAGCUGGUCGUGAAUCAAUUCAAAA